Molecule: ribosomal RNA, 347 nt
Filed under: uncultured bacterium
Lineage: Bacteria
Description: partial 16S ribosomal RNA
Rfam family: Bacterial small subunit ribosomal RNA
Source: RNAcentral
CCUACGGGUGACAGCAGUGAGGAAUAGUGGUCAAUGGGCGCGAGCCUGAACCAGCCAAGUAGCGUGAAGGAUGACUGCCCUACGGGUUGUAAACUUCGUUUAUAAAGGAAUAAAGUGAGGCACGUGGGCCUUUUUGUAUGUACUUUAUGAAUAAGGAUCGGCUAACUCCGUGCCAGCAGCCGCGGUAAUACGGAGGAUCCGAGCGUUAUCCGGAUUUAUUGGGUUUAAAGGGAGCGUAGAGGGGUUGUUAAGUCAGUUGUGCAAGUUUGCGGCUCAACCGUAAAAUUGCCAUUGAUACUGGCAGUCUUGAUUACAGUUGAGGUAGGCGGACUUCGUGGUGUAGCGGU